This is a long non-coding RNA of Peromyscus maniculatus bairdii (prairie deer mouse), 331 nucleotides long. RefSeq lists it as uncharacterized. NCBI's taxonomy places the organism in Eukaryota, Metazoa, Chordata, Mammalia, Rodentia, Cricetidae. The record is from RefSeq and is a predicted model, not a curated record.
GCCUCUGAAGAGCAACGCUUCAGCUGAAGGAGACUGUUCAUCCACCUCCAAAACAUUGCUUUGUUUAGGAAUGCUAGGAGUGCAGCUGUGGCCUCCCAUAUCUGGCUUUUUAUGGGUCCAAGGAUCCAACUUGGGUCAUCAGCCUUGCACAAGUCCUUUUACCUGCUCAGCCUUGUCGAUGGCCCAGUAACAAAGAAUGUCAAGAUGUCUGGAUAUCCAAGGCUUUUUGAUUUAUUGAAGAUGGGUAUUCCUGUUAUCCUGUAAAGACAAAAACCAGAACCCUGCCUCAACCCUUGUUUGUUCAGUUUUCCUUACAACUUGUAGAAUUGCC